RNAcentral lists this ribosomal RNA (468 nucleotides) under uncultured bacterium. Its description in RNAcentral is "partial 16S ribosomal RNA". It matches the Rfam family "Bacterial small subunit ribosomal RNA", at positions 28 to 507 of the family's 1533-position model. The record is from RNAcentral.
GACGAACGCUGGCGGCGUGCUUAACACAUGCAAGUCGAACGGAAAGGCCCUGCUUUUGUCGGGUUCUCGAGUGGCUAACGGGUGAGUAACACGUGAGUAACCUACCCUCUACUUUGGGAUAACUUCAGGAAACUGGGGCUAAUACCGGAUAGGAGCUCCUGCUGCCUAGUGAGGGUUGGAAAGUUUCGGCGUUUGGUGAUGGACUCGCGGCUUAUCAGCUUGAUGGUGGGGUAGUGGCUUACCAAGGCUUUGACGGGUAGCCGGACUGAGAGGGUGACCGGACACACUGGGAAUGAGGAACGGGCCAGAGUCGUACGGGAGGCAGCAGUGGGGAAUAAUGCACAAGGGGAGGAAGCCUGAAGCAGCAACGCCGCGGGCGGGAAGAAGGCCUUCGGGUUGUAAAACGCUUUCGCCUGUGACGAAGAGUGAGUUAAGGUAAUGGGUAAAGAAGCACCGGCUAACUACGUG